GAGGUGCUAAUAUGAUGUGUAACAUCAUAUUUAAAUUGCACCGAGGAUAUGCCGCCGAACGAAGGUGAGGGGGCAAUACCUAA
RNAcentral lists this small RNA (83 nucleotides) under human gut metagenome. RNAcentral's name for it is "GA-cis RNA". It matches the Rfam family "GA-cis RNA". The record is from RNAcentral.